This 349-nucleotide ribosomal RNA is filed under the name uncultured Pseudomonas sp. RNAcentral's name for it is "bacterial SSU rRNA". It matches the Rfam family "Bacterial small subunit ribosomal RNA", at positions 1032 to 1382 of the family's 1533-position model. Lineage: Bacteria; Pseudomonadati; Pseudomonadota; Gammaproteobacteria; Pseudomonadales; Pseudomonadaceae. The record is from RNAcentral.
ACACAGGUGCUGCAUGGCUGUCGUCAGCUCGUGUCGUGAGAUGUUGGGUUAAGUCCGUAACGAGCGCAACCCUUGUCCUUAGUUACCAGCACGUUAUGUGGGCGACUCUAAGGAGACUGCCGGUGCAAACCGGAGGAAGGUGGGGAUGACGUCAAGUCAUCGUGGCCCUUACGGCCUGGGCUACACACGUGCUACAAUGGUCGGUACAAAGGGUUGCCAAGCCGCGAGGUGGAGCUAAUCCCAUAAAACCGAUCGUAGUCCGGAUCGCAGUCUGCAACUCGACUGCGUGAAGUCGGAAUCGCUAGUAAUCGUGAAUCAGAAUGUCACGGUGAAUACGUUCCCGGGCCUU